This is a non-coding RNA of Perognathus longimembris pacificus (Pacific pocket mouse), 74 nucleotides long. NCBI's taxonomy places the organism in Eukaryota, Metazoa, Chordata, Mammalia, Rodentia, Heteromyidae. The record is from the annotation of a RefSeq genome assembly.
GGAGAUGUGGUUCAAGUGGUAAAACACUAGCCUAGAAAGCUAGAGGCCCUGAGUUCAAACCCCAGGCCUCUCCA